CAAUCUGAAUGAUGAUGAUGAUAAUUUAGGUUAUAGUAUUACCCAGGGGCUGAGUGCAGAGUAGGGUUCCAUUGUCCUAAGCUUAGGAAAAGCAAAAAUAAAAGCAUGUAAUAUCUCAGACUUACGUAGGCUAAAAACAGUGCAAAUGAGCAGAAAUUAGUAGGAGUCCCUGUGUAUACUCAAAUUAUGUCUAAUAAUCAAUCUACUAUAAUCAAAAUAUAACUACUUUUUAACUAUUGUAUAAUUCCUUUGUCAUUUCUUUAGCUAGAGACAUUCAUAUCUCGGGGCUGAAUUAUAGACGAGUGGUAUCUUAUUACAUUUAUUGGCUUUCUCCCAUUAGUACUGCACAGAUGCUUUGCCUCUUGCUGAGUGAGAAACACAUGGACAAAUGUAAUAUAUACAUUUUGAAAAAAAAAAAUAAGAAAAAGAGACUUGGUGUUGGUUUUAAAUGGUUCUGGGAAUGGAGUCCCUUUUUAACUAAAGAGACCAAAACAGAAAUGGUCUGCCCAGAGUAGAAAUUAACCCCCUCACUAACACACCAUUGCUUACUAAAUGUGUUAAUUAAUUAAUGGCCUUAAUUUAAUUCUCCACAUGUGUUGAACUGAGUUGAUGAGUGUUACUAUACUUUCAAUUAGAUGGGUUUUGCAACAUCAUUUUCAUCAUAGUGGUUAGUAUAAAUGAGUUUUCUUAAUUAUGGAGGGUAAAUGCUCUGUGUGACUGUUUGGCACACUCUGGCAGAUAUCCUUUGUUUGCAGGGACACUGGUGUCCAGUUCACUUCCAAUAAGCUCUUUCUGCUGAUGUUUUCUGACUUUCUAGAUAUGAUAUUGAAAACCUAUGACAGGUAGAAGAUAUAACUGAAAUUCUCCAUACUAUUAUUUACUGAAACAUUAUAGCUCUUACUUAUUAUUGAGUUUAGUGUUCUUGCAUUAUGUGCCUUCUUGCAGUGCUUGUCAAGAAAACUAAGGUAUAUAGCAAUUAUCUUCUCUGCCAUCCUUCCACAGUGUCUCAGGGACAGCAGUGUCAUUCUUAAAUUGUGAUAAGAUCUUAUUAGUAAGACAGACAUUAGAAGUUUGCUUUUUUAAACAUUAGGCAACAUUUCACACAAUGUCAAAAUUGAGAAUUUGCAGAAAGUCUUUACACUCUGGGAAUCCUUUCUUAGACUUCCCACGUCGCUUAGGAAGUCAAUGUCUUUCCCAGCUUCUCUUUCCUUCUAGGAUGUGACUGUGGGAAAGGAGGGAAAAUUCACUUGCACGUUGGUAGAGACAGUCCAGGCAGCUGUGUGUGAUGGCUGAGUCUGGGGUAAAAAUGAGCAUCUGAGGAUAAAUUAAGAUGAUAGAGAAGGCAAAAAGUAUUGAUCUUCACAUUUAAUCUUCCUCACCUCCUUAGCAUUUUUAUGUCCUGUGUCUGCCCUGGAGCUUAUGCUCUUUUUCACAAAUAUAACACAAGUAAAGAUGGGGAAAGUGCUGAAGACACUGGACAAGAAUAUUUUACAUUGCUAAAGGAGUAAUUAGUGUAGGUGCAGUGCUGGACCCACAUCACCCCUGUGUGUUCAUGCUGCAUUUCCAUCCAGUUUCGUUUAUUUUUCUGAAGUGCUCAUAUCAGAGAGUAGGAAUUUACUUAUCCUCCUGGCCACAUUUUGUUUUGUUUAGCUUUGGACUCUGUGUCAGCAGCCUUUCUGCAGCUUCCCAGCACUGCGGAUGUACAUGAGGGACAAAGACUGGAUCUGGAAACAAACUGUUUGGUGCAAACUGAUUUCCAGAGGCCAAGUUAGCAC
This 1775-nucleotide long non-coding RNA is filed under the name Gallus gallus (chicken). The record is from RNAcentral. Lineage: Eukaryota; Metazoa; Chordata; Aves; Galliformes; Phasianidae.